RNAcentral lists this ribosomal RNA (303 nucleotides) under uncultured bacterium. Its description in RNAcentral is "partial 16S ribosomal RNA". It matches the Rfam family "Bacterial small subunit ribosomal RNA", at positions 507 to 807 of the family's 1533-position model. The record is from RNAcentral.
AGCAGUAGCCGCGGGAAUACGGAGGGUGCGAGCGUUAAUCGGAAUAACUGGGCGUAAAGGGCACGCAGGCGGCUAUUUAAGUGAGGUGUGAAAUCCCCGGGCUUAACCUGGGAAUUGCAUUUCAGACUGGGUAGCUAGAGUACUUUAGGGAGGGGUAGAAUUCCACGUGUAGCGGUGAAAUGCGUAGAGAUGUGGAGGAAUACCGAAGGCGAAGGCAGCCCCUUGGGAAUGUACUGACGCUCAUGUGCGAAAGCGUGGGGAGCAAACAGGAUUAGAUACCCCUGUAGUCCCUGUCUCUUAUAC